GGGAUUAUGUUUUACACUUCAUUAGCAUCAUAUUAGGUCAUACUGUAACGUAUGACGUAAUCACUGUACCUCUAGUCCAAAACUAUGAUCACUCCUUAACAGAAGGAGCCCACACAAAGAAAGAUUGAGAAUUGGACUUCAUUUUCUAAGUAUACAAGUCUCAAGGGUCUCGGGGGGGUCCAAGUAUCUUAUUAUGGUCCUCAGUUCAUCAGUGAAGGAUUCAAAGCUAUCAGAGUGUUCAUCUGGAUUUAAUCAAAAAUUAGGGUUUCAUGGCUACCUGCAACAGGCAAGGUUUGGUUGGAAGUAGAGGAGCUCAUUCAUAUCAUGAUUAGAGAGGCAUCUUGGCCUAGGAAGAUUCACAAUUAUCUUAGAAAGAUCCAUUGGCAAUCAGUGCAAUCA
Molecule: long non-coding RNA, 399 nt
Filed under: Lathyrus oleraceus (garden pea)
Lineage: Eukaryota; Viridiplantae; Streptophyta; Magnoliopsida; Fabales; Fabaceae
Description: Pisum sativum (pea) long non-coding RNA (PSAT_LNC006698)
Source: RNAcentral